Long non-coding RNA from Solanum lycopersicum (tomato), 670 nucleotides. RefSeq lists it as uncharacterized. NCBI's taxonomy places the organism in Eukaryota, Viridiplantae, Streptophyta, Magnoliopsida, Solanales, Solanaceae. The record is from RefSeq and is a predicted model, not a curated record.
UCCCUUCGUUUGAAAGGACAGAACGGUGCACGUCUUCAUUUGGAAGAUUCAUCAUCGAAAGAUGGAGAAACACUAUGGUGUUUAUGGAUUCAAGAUUAAGUGAUGUUUCAUAAGUGGACGAUGAUGAUCUUCAACAACUUCUACUCCUCCUUCCUAUGGGUUUUCUUUCUCGCACCCCAUCAUUGGAAAGGAUAGUACCGCAUACGUCUUGAUUUGGAAGAUUCACAACCAAAAGAUGGAGAAACGCUAUGGUGUUUAUGGAUUCAGGAUUCAGUGAUGUUUCAUAGGUGGAGACGAUGAUGAUCUUCAACAACUUCUACUGCUACUUCCUAUGGUUGAGUUCUACUGGCAUUUCCGAAUUCCAAUGGAUAUCUAUACGAAGUAAAUGGAUGACGUAGUCACAGCUAAAGGGAUACAAACAAUAAAAGAUUGGAACCGGGGUUUGGAGACUUGAGUGCUAUCUUGAAGCUAGGUUUCUAAGGAGCUAAGGAGUUGAAGAUCUUGGUGAGUCCUCAUAGCUACUAGGACAAACCAACCAUUUCCUUUAUGUAUUUAUUUCAUAUUUUUGAGACUAUUGUAUGGUUGUGUUCCAAGAGUUCAAUCUACAGUAUAUUAGAUGGUUUGAGACAAAGAAAGAAAGACUUCCGCUUGAUUUUUAUGAAAAUGACUU